Long non-coding RNA from Passer domesticus (house sparrow), 5563 nucleotides. RefSeq lists it as uncharacterized. The transcript is spliced from 3 exons. Lineage: Eukaryota; Metazoa; Chordata; Aves; Passeriformes; Passeridae. The record is from RefSeq and is a predicted model, not a curated record.
CGGAAGUGGCUGGACCGCGGCGUUUGGGGGUUCAGGAAGGCACUUGGGGAACACUUCAGGGUCCGAGCCGCGAAUUGAGGUCCUCGGGGGAACGUAAAUGCUUCGGCUUUUUCAUCCAAUGAAGAAGAGCUCUACCAUUUCUGAAACCACCCUUCAAAGCACUCUCAGGCUACUCCUGUUCUGUCAUCAGUCUUCACACCACUGAGCCCUGGGCCAUCAGUCUCUGGGUCAUGUGCUUGAGGCCUCCCAAUCCCAUCUUGGAAGAUUUUUGUGUCCUUUCAAGGUCUUUUCAGAUUAAAACAUUGUGGUCAUAAUCCAAUAAAAAUUGAAAUAUUUUUAUAGGCCUGUAGUGGCAGAGAAAGGGACAUAGCCUUUAGAAUGCUCAAGGGUAUUUUUAGAUUUGAUAUAAGAAAGAAAUAUUUUGUGAUAAGGUUGAGAAUUUGUAAACAGGUCAUCCAUAGACAUGAAUACCCCAUUCCAAAACAUGUUCAAGGUCAGGAUCUUUAACCAUCUGUUCCAGUGGUAGUUGUGCCUUGCCACAGAAACGGGGCUGCAGUAGAUGAUAUUUUAAUGCCAUUCCAAUUUGAAAAACAGAAGAUAAAAAACAAAUUUAUGAAAGUUCUGACACCUCCUCAUGAAAGACUCACCAAGGGGGUCAAUGGCAGAGCUUUCCAGCAUGACCUUGCCAGUUGAGCAUGGGGGGUUCUGCAUUGGGUCUGAGAUUCAUGACGGAAAUCCACAAGGGGCAUUUGGGGAAUGUGCAGCAUUUCCCAUGUGAUGCCUAAGAAAGGCCCACAGGAAGGGAAAGGGUGGCACCAUGGUGCUUUGUGAAAGAACAAACAUGAAUCAGCAGGGAAAAGGGGAUGAAAGAGCUGGUCAUGAGCAAACGUGCAUCCCUGGCUACGCCCUACAGCUGAUCCCCACAGCCUGUGGCAUUUUCCUAAACCCCCAUUGCCAGGAACUGUCUGGAACAAGGGAGCUCUCUCUGCGCUGGGUACCAAGGGAUGUCCAAGUGCCAGAUACUGGAGUGGGGACCACAAAUCAUCAGGUCCUGUGUCCUUUGGGGGCCCAGGCACUGGUGAAACUGGUGUGUGUGUGCACACAGCACUGGUGUGGGGGGCUGGUGUAACCACCAGGGAACAUCAAACCAGAGCAACCAGUGAGCAGCAGAGGCCUGAGAGAUGCUGUGUGAGAUCCACUCCUGCAGGGAUCCACAUGGUCUGGGUGUCUCUGCAGCUCUGCCUCUCCUCCUGCCAUGGUGGAGCACACAAACAGCCCAUCCCUGUGUCUCUUCUCCACUGACUGUGCUUUGGCCUUGCCUGGAAACUACCCGAGGUCUCUCCCAGGAGGAGUCCCUGUGCAUUUCCCUCCCCCAUGCCUCUGCCCUUCCUGAUCCAGCAGUGGUGGGGCAGGGAGAGGGCUGGCUCUGACAGGGCUGUUGUGGUUUAGGAAUGGUGCUCUCCAAUUUCCUACUCCCACUACAAAGACCACGUGUCUCCCCAGAUUGAUAUUCCCACCAUUGUCCCCACACCACAGGGGCUUUGCCUGCCUGGCCCUGCUUGAUCUCAGACACGUUUCACAGUCAGGGAUAACCUGGAGAUGGUGUCCAUGGUUAAACCUACCCCUUGCUCAUGAGCCCAUCUGGAGGUUGCAUCUCUGCUCUGAUGACCUGAGGUGUCCAGAAAUAACUCACCCUUGUGUGGCCAGUCCAGACCCAGCUGAGACACUUUAAUCCUGGCAGCCCCAUCCUCCUCUCUGUUGUUUCGAUGCUCUUCAGUGCCUGACUCUUGGGCAAUGAGCAUCCAUAGGAGGGACUUUCACAGCCAACAUCUCCCCUGGGCAACGAUGUCUUGCCCUGGUCCAGCAGCCCAGAUGGGUUUCCCUCUGCACUGCCAAUUGUCCCUUUUCCAUCAUUCCAGCCACCCCACAGAGCAUUUCCCACCAUCCCUGAGUCAGUGCAGAGGUGCAGCGCUGGCCAUUUCUCUCCCUCAGAGCUGCGGGUAUGGUCCCAGUGCUGCAGUGACUGCAGGAAAGAGGACCCCACAAUAGGUCAUUUGUUGGUCAAAUACAGACAGAAAGAGUGAGAAACUGUCUGUGACUUGGGUUUUGGCCUCGCAGCCCCUGCCGUGGUUUGCAGGGAGCUGCAGUGUGGCACAGCCCUGGCUGUGCCCUGCAGUGCUGGCCUGGGAGAAGGUGUCGGUGCCAGCUGGCGCAGGGAGCUGCAGCGUGUGGGGAACGAAUCCCUCCUGGCCUCCUGCCCCCGGGUGACACUGCAGGGCCUCAUGGAGCCAAGGGGCCAUUGCAGCACUUCAGGGCCCCAUGGAAUUAAGGGGACUGUUUGGACAUUGCAGGGUCUUGUGGGACUGAGGCCAUUGUGACACAUCAGAACCAAAGGGCAGUUGUGAAACUACGGGGCCUUGUGGAACUGAUACUGAAAUUGUCCAAAUAGAAACUUUCUAACACAGUUUGGGUAUUAGAAAGCAGCCAUUCUUUAUGCAGUGCUGGUCACUUGGGGGAUCAUUCAUCCAUGUGAGUGCCCCAAACAUCAAGUAAGCAAAGGUCUUAUCACACACAGUGAUUACAUAUUCACAAGCUCUUCCUCUGUGGUGGCCUGUAGGUCUCACAGUAUAAAUAAUUCCAACUUUAUAACUGAAAUAUGUGAUUGAUUUUGUAAUUACCUUACUUACGUAAUUUGACCAGUAAGAGCAGGCCAGGCUGUUGGGGACUCAGGCUGCUGUUGGCUGGUUAGCCGAAUAGUAACUGGCUCAGCCCAUGAGGAUUAACUUCAUGGGCUUUCUUAUCUAUAUAAGGAAGUGAGCUGGCUGUUGCUGCAUGAACACGGAGUGUCAAGUCACCCGUCUCCGAAACUGAAACCAUUGGUGACCCCGAUGUGAUCACGACAGCUUCCACCAAUAGCACAGGGAACAGGCGGGGCAGCCAAGAGGAGCUGCCCACAGCUUUGAACUGUGAAAAGUGGCGUCCAGUGCUGCGGGGCAACCAGGAGGAGUUGCCUUUGCAGGCUUUACAGCCUUUGAGCUGCAAAGAAUGGUGUAGAGAGCCGUGAUCAGUCUGGAUCCUCCCCUUUUUUCCCCUCUUAUUCUUUUUCUUUUUGUAAGUGGAAGACACCACCAGCAUGGGAGCAGAGGCUUUGACAACAGAGGACCCCCUCCUGCAGGAUCCUUGUGGGUACCUGCUAAAUGGACCCGAGCAGCUGUGUUAGAUGGAACCGGACCCCAGACAACUGAGCGAGGAGGACCGUCAGCGAGUGGAGGCAAAGCUGCUGAUCACAAAUCAACCGAUACUUCUCAAGCUGAAGGACAGUGUAGCUUUGCCAUUGACCGAGCGACUGAUCGGUGUCAAUCUCUGGACAGUAUACUAAGCCUGAUUCCAGCGCUUCAUAUGUUUUAUCAUAGAGGGCCUAAGAGAUUAGCUUGUAUUAAGUGUCAAAAUACUCAGUGUGCUGCAUGGAUAUUGUUCUUUUGAGGGGGGUGUCAGCAAACUAAGUGGGUGCAUCAGUCACAGUUACCUGAGCUGUGGUGCAGAAGCUGUGCAUUUUAUUGGCAGCGGGAUUCCUGGCAAGCAGAACUCCAGACCUUUACAGGGUUACCUGGCCGCCAAGGGUUACAGUUAUAUGAGUCCCCAGAACAGAAAAUUCUCGCAUGGUUUAGGUGGGAAACCCAGCACUUUGCCAGACGCGCUUUAGGGCAAUCUCAGUCGUGUAUCUUACAGUCUUAAGUGUGGUCGGGGUAUUCCCCUCUCCCAGCUAGAUGUAGUAGGUCCGAUUCUGAGGGAUCAAGAUCCUAACCAAGCGUGGGACGAUUGUUUAAGGGCUCUAAAAAGAUUAAGUCUGGGCAGCUCAAGAAAGAAAAGGGGGAGAGGAAAGAAGAGACAUUCUUAAUUUCCCAAAUGUCUGGAUGGUUCAAAACAGCGCCCAGGAAAAUCAGGGUGAUGUGGCAGACUUAUGCUGCUGUUUUACUCGUAUUUGCCCUCUUAAUAGACAGCCCAGACAUUGCCAAAGGAGUGGGAACCCACCAAGCAUGGGCCCCACCUCAGCCCAAGACUAAUAUUUAGAUCACCAUGGCAAAUUUAACUAACCAGGAGGCUAUUUGCUUGUCAUUAUCUUCUCCCGGUAAUCCAUUUACAACCUGUUUGGUUGGGCUACCGGCAGAUCCCUGGCCAUGCCCAUCAAAAAUACCCACCUGCAAAACCAAUGACGCCAGGGUCAAUGUAGAUAACUGGGACCAAUGGAUUUCUCAUUUUCCUAUAGCACCGCAGGAACCCCAAGAAUUGGAACUGUUAGGCUCAGUGAUGGCGGAUGCAUGCCUUAGGUUUAAGCAUAAAAGUCAGCUGCCAGCCAAAAACUAUUCUACUAUUGUAACCUCCAGCAUGGCCAUUUACCAUAAUGCAACAACCUGGUGCAAUUAUACCACAAAGAGGGUGUCGAUCUCAUCAAAUGACCCUAUUCAAUUACCAGCAGGUUACUUUUUAAUAUGUGGGGAUCGUGCUUGGCCCGGUGUCCCAUCGCUGCUGAGCGGGGGGCCAUGUACAAUUGGUCGCUUGUCUCUACUCACACCCAAUACGUCAAUGAUCCUUAAUAUGAGCCGCUGCUAUCACAGAAUUAAAAGAAUGGCCCAUGCGUUUGCUGCUGACUGCAAAGAUGAUGUAAAAUUUUGGUCCCCAGGGGCCAUAGUGGCAGCAUCCUUUUUAGCUCCAGGGGUAUCAGCAGCAGGUGCCCAUGCCAUUUUAAACAAGCUAGGAUGCUGGCUUGCUAAACAAACUAAUGCCACCUCUUUAGCACUUUCUAGCCUUUUGCUUGAUGUUGAUUCUAUUCGCCAUGCAACACUUCAGAAUAGAGCUGCAAUUGAUUUCCUUUUACUGGCACAAGGCCAUGGUUGUGAAGAAUUUGAGGGCAUAUGUUGCAUGAACCUCUCUGAUCAUUCCCAGUCCAUUCACUCCCAGCUCUCUGAGCUGCGAAGGUUAACUGGAAAUUUACAGGUAGAAUCAGGCUCUGGUAUUGAUAAGUGGCUCAAAUCUUUAGGCUUGGGAUCAUGGUUGCGCUCUGUUGUUAGAGUCAUCAUUAUAGUAGGCAUUAUAGCUUUGUUAGUAGUGUUAGUUUUGCCUUGUUUUUGCAUGUGCUUACAGAACAUGGUUCAAAGAAUGAUAUCUGCUGCAUCUAAUCAGACUAUGCUUGUGCAACAGAAAAACAGGGGAAGUGUGGAGGAUUUUGUCAACAGCUGGCUAGCUAACAAAGGUCACACUGACAUAAUACCGCUAAUUAAGCAAGAAGGAGAUGAGGAUAGGAGUCAGCAGUCAGUGUCCAAACCUGGCAAGGGCACUGUGCCCUUGGUGCAACAACAGGAUGGGGGAGAGGAUCGUUAGUUAGAAACAUGAAGAAAAUAUGUGAACAGCUGCAGCAUAGUAGCCUCAAGAAUGCUAAGGUAGGCGUAGUUAGCUGAUAAGUAACUAACCAGUAAUGAGCUCGCUUUUUGCAAUAUGUAUUAGCCGCAUUAACACCAAUAUAAAUGUAUGUGCCUAUCAAUAAAGUUUUGAGAUUUGCUGAUCA